ACAUCAAGGAUUCCCAUGGACAUGUGGUUGUCCAUUGCACAUAUAUUGAUAGGAAUGUUCAGCUCCUUUUUAGGUAAGUUCUAAGCACUACCUCUUUCAGUGACAACAUGUACACUCAUGUAUUUAUAUUGCGAUGUUGCUUGCUUUCGACCAUUGUGACACGGACACACCGCCACCAAUAUUUUUAUCUAACACGAUUAAGAAGUAGGAAUGCAAUGUUCUUUUAGCAUUUUUCCUUUGGUUUGGAGGGGACCCAAGAAAUGCUACAUGCUUUAUUUGCUUCUAAUGAAAAUGAUUGAUCUGUCAUCGGUUCCAAGUGAUAGAUCUGUCGGCUAAUCGUCUCAAGGAGAAGGAUCCAUCCCUGAUUCUGUACCUGCACUUAAAAGCGCACAAUGUCGAAAGAGAACUUGACAUCAGAUGCAAUUUCUCUGUCUUAGAAAAUAUGCCUCAAACUUUCUGACAUAAAAUAUUCCUUAACAUAUUUAACAUAUAGUCUAAUUGGUAGGUCCUCCUAAUGGAUACAAGAGAGUCACGGUAAGCUCAGAAACAUAUUUUGAAUUAACGUAGAUUGGCUUUGAGAGGUAAAAAAAUAUGGACCUCAUGUAGAUAAAAUAGAUACAUUUAUUCUAUUAUGGCUAUGAAAUGACCUAAGUGAUGAGUAAAAUAUGCAGGUCCACCACAUAUAUAUCAAUGGAAAUGCAAUGUAGAUAUUUAAGUAGUGAGUACAUAAAGCGCUUAAAGGUAACUUAUACAAAUAUCUGUUAUAUUCUUAGACAGGAUCAAGAAAAAUGUCCCUUCCAAUGAAAGUAAUAGGUCAACAUGUCUUGAUUUCACCAGGUGCCGUUGCUCAAGUUGCAGCCGGAGGUUGCAGCUACACAGGACACAAAUUCAGGUGCAUUUUACACCUACAUAUCUUCCUACAAACAUGUUUUUUCUCCUAACAUUUUGUAUGUUACCGUAAAAUUACUUUGUACACUAUAGAUAUAAACGGUUUCAUCUCAGAUGACACAACAACUGAAAUAUUUUGCUUUGACAACAUUGCUAAACAUAUUCUUGGAAAACCUUAUGAACCCUGAUGUUGUGAACACCUUUAUGCAGUAGAUAGCUAAUGUAUUUUUAUGAUAUUAAUUAUGCCCCUAGGACAUGUUGCUACAACAGACCCUUCUGCGUGUAAGUAUAGGACUAUAGGUGAUAGGUUGAUAUCUCAGGCUACCAACCAACAAACUUUCUAGAAACGUACUUAUGCUGGUGAGUACAAUGCUGCUUGGAACAUGUUGAACUAAUAUGGUUAAUAUAUUUUUUAUGGCUUUUGUUGUACUCGAUUAUACAAGCCUACAUAUAUUGCAUCAUUAGUACAAGCAAAUCUUCUAUACAUGGGCUUCUACCUGCCAACUCUUUUCUAUUGACUUUACACUAUGAGUUUCAUGAUAACUUACUUAUCAUGUUUCUUACAUACAUAUACUGAGUUUUAUAUUAACUUAUAU
RNAcentral lists this long non-coding RNA (1484 nucleotides) under Zea mays. RNAcentral describes it as "long non-coding RNA (ZMAY_LNC003955)". The record is from RNAcentral. Lineage: Eukaryota; Viridiplantae; Streptophyta; Magnoliopsida; Poales; Poaceae.